CACUAGUAGCACGAUUUCAGUCUGAAACGGUCAUUUUGGUCUGACCAUAUCUUAAUCGACUGGAUUUACCGCUAGAGAAAAACGUCAAGACUUUUAAGAACUUUUCAGACGCCGUUUCGAUCGAUAGUCGCAUCAGGUAAAUCAGUCCGUUAAGGCAUGUCAAGAUAAACAAGACUCAAUCUUCUAGCGAGCUGUUAAGAUCCGUUACGACUGAUUCAGUCGAAAUCAGACCAUGGAUACAAAAUUACGUCAAGAUGUUGUCAGACUGUGUUCAGUCGUGUUCAGAUUUUAAUAAUUUGGACACAAAACGAGUGAAACUUUCCCAGUGUGUAUCAGGGGUUGCUCCCCUUCAAGAGUGAAAUACAAAUUAGAAAGAAGACGGUUUAUGUUAUUUUGAUAGUUUACCAAGUCUACUUAAUUAAAAAAAAUAAAACAAUUUCGAUUCUUACUUUUUCGUAUAUAAUUAUUAAACAUGUUUUAUAUUAAAAAAAAUAUAUUGUUGUUGUUGUUUAUUUAAUCAUUUUGCAAUCGUGUUUGACUUGUGCAUUCGACUUUCCUAAAGGUAUCUUUUAUUUUUUUAUUCUGUCUAUUUAGAGUCUUUUAUAACUUGUUUUACAUACCAGAAGCCUUCGUUUAAAAAUAGAGUUUAUAUAUUAUUGGAGAUGAUGGUUUAUGAAUUCAUAAUUUCAAAUUUAUAUUUGAAAUAUAUUUGAUAAAUUAUCAUGAUGAUUAUGCGGAAGUGAAAAUGUUCCGUCGGUGUAUGUGAAGUAAAUUUAAAGAAUAUGACUUAGUUACAUAUAUUAUACAGCAUAAUAAAACUGGUUUAAUUUGAAUUACUAUCCAUUAGGGACAUUUUCCGAUAAUAAUUAAUCAAAUCUGUCAAGUUUUAUUAAAAACGGAAAACAAUUCUUCACCCGUAAACGAUUUAACGUUACUGUACCCACUUUAUUUUUGUUGCAUUCUGUCGGCGGAAAAGCAGGUCGGCAAACUAUAUUUUACUUAAAAUCGUAGAAGGGAAACUUACAGUACAAUAUAAGCUGCUCUGAAUAUUGCAAUCGAAUUCACAUUAGUUUGAGCAUGAUUCCCAGCCAGAUUAUGAAGCCGGCAUAUACAUGGUAUAGGAAAUAUAUAUAGAUGUCACUAAGUAACUCUCAUAGCUGCUAAUUGUGAAACAGUG
This is a long non-coding RNA of Mytilus californianus (California mussel), 1177 nucleotides long. RefSeq lists it as uncharacterized. The record is from RefSeq and is a predicted model, not a curated record. The transcript has 2 exons. Lineage: Eukaryota; Metazoa; Mollusca; Bivalvia; Mytilida; Mytilidae.